Molecule: long non-coding RNA, 292 nt
Filed under: Vigna radiata
Lineage: Eukaryota; Viridiplantae; Streptophyta; Magnoliopsida; Fabales; Fabaceae
Description: long non-coding RNA (VRAD_LNC005243)
Source: RNAcentral
GGGAGGCUAGGGAUAGCAAGCCAGUAAUUAAUAAUAGGCUCUUUUCACCAAGGGAUUGGGUUAAGGGUAAAUAAGAAAGUAUGCAUGACAAUUAGAUAAAUAAGUGAAAUAAAUAAGAAGAGUAGAUAUAUGAGAGUGGAUAAGAUGAAAUUGUAAACCCCCACAACACAAUUCAUUCAUAGUUUCUCAAAACCAAUUGAAUCAACUGCAUUGCAUGUUUAUUUUUGUUCUUUGCAUAUAACCACCAAAUUUAUUCUCUUCUCAAGUCUUACGCGAUUAGGUUACAUGAAAG